Molecule: long non-coding RNA, 3083 nt
Organism: Felis catus (domestic cat)
Lineage: Eukaryota; Metazoa; Chordata; Mammalia; Carnivora; Felidae
Exons: 4
Source: RefSeq, a predicted model, not a curated record
GGAGGGACGGAACGCGGCGGGGCGCGGGGGAACGUGGACAAUGCGAAUGCUGCGGCCCUGGGCGCCCCGCCCGGGCGCGGACCACACGGCUGCGGGCCCGCCCCACAGCGCCCCGCGGCGUCCUUCCCAAAUCUGCGGUCCCCAGGCACUGUCUGCGGCUGUGACGGGGUCUCUUAGAGCUGUCGGGAGAGACUACCAGGCCACUGUCGCCAAGUUUGUAUUUCCCCUUGAGCUCUGAAGAUUCUCCUCUGUGUUAAGGGGCUGUCUUCUGUCAAAAAAUACUUGCCAGAGCCCAAGGAGACAGUAACUCACCUUCAAAGUUUGUUUUUAAAUGAAUAUUCUGUCAUUGGCCUAUUUAUUUACAAUAUGUGUUUUUAAGUCCUCUCAUGACUUAGAAUGGAAAACAAGCAAACAUCGAUGAACAUGAAACAGGUUUCAUGAAACAAGUUUAAUAAAAAGUCAUGGUACAAACUUUUUUACUAUUUUUUUUCUUAUUGCUAAUUUUUAAACUAUCUUACUUUUUUACUAAAAGUCUUUCCCACAAUAACCAGUAUCACACAAUCAAUGAAAAUGACUUAAAAGAGGAAAAUUGCUGUGGACCAUUAUUAAAAAAAACAGCUCUAUUUUGUUCUCGUACUGAAACUUUUUGAAGGCCAGCUUGAUUUUCAAGUUGUGAUCUUGUGGACUUUACAAAGUGGGUAAUGCUAUUUGACUGUUGUUCAAAAAGCCAGAAGCAUGUAUCUGCAGUGCCAUGGGGUUGGAGAGGGAUACAGGAUUACACAGCUGUCUUCUUAGAUAAAUCUGACCUACUUAGCCUUCUCUGGAGGUAUUUUUCAUGCUGACUCAUGAACAACAGGAAAGUUAUGGCCCAUUAAGUAGCAUCCAUGUUUUGAAGUAAACUUCUUCUCCAAAGAAGACUCCUGUGUCAUUGAUGCCAUUAUUUGCCUGCAGAUGAAAACCAAGCAAGUCUAUAAAUGUGAGUUACAUCUCAACACAUUCUACAUAAAACUGACAGUGAAGCAUCAAGUCCAAAUCACCUGUCUCUAGUCUAGAGAAGAUUCAACACACCAGGUCACAUGGUGGGUUGUAAAGACUGAAAGAGAUACUAUAUGUGAGCAGAUAACUAAAGAGGUCCCUGAAACAAGAAGCUGGUACACAGGCCAGUGUCUCAAAGGGAGCAGGGUUCUGAGCAGGAAAUGGCUAAGACAGUCUCCAGUUGUCAGAGGAAGUUGAUGUAAUGAAGGCAAGACUACGGGAAAAUGUUGCUCAAUUAUUAAGACCAAAUACUUCAGAUCACCUCUGAAGAAGCCCAGAUUUUAUCUCAGAACAAAAAGGUAAGAGGCUGAGAGGAUUAGAUAAAAUAUGUGCAGAAGUGCUUUGCCAACUGAGAAAUGCUUUAUAAAUACUUGCCCUGGAGAUAAGGGCUUCACUCUAAAAGACAAAACAAAGCAAAACGACAACAAAAAAACAAACAAAAAGAUUGCAAAAUUAGCCAGUGUGUUUUUAAACUAUAAUUCUAAAUCGAUUAUUUCAUAAAUUCUUAUAGUUCUAAUUUUGAAGAAGAGUUGGUAAAAUCAUAAUCUUUUUUUUCUAUUUGAAGCUAUGAUUUUAUCUUGAUCAUUUAACCAUUUUGGCUCUUUCCAGAUUUUUGGUAAUCUAUAAGCCAGCCCUAAUUAAAUUGAUCAUGUUGUGAAUUAGUGAAAUAGUCUAAAAACACCAAAAUUGGCCAUGAUUGCCUCAAUGAUUUUUGUAGUCUUAAUAUUUUAAAUCAAAUGACCACUUAAUCACUCAUUCAUGCAUGCAUUCAUUCAGGAAAAUUGCAAGAGAGACGAUGUGUCUAGGUAGUAAGGCAAUAGAAAGGUACAGAACACUAAAGACUUAAAAAAAAUAAAAAUAUGAAAGUAGGGUUACGUUACAUAAAUUGUUCUUUCUGCUGAUCUCCGUGAGUAAAUAAAUAACUUAAAUCUUUUCAAAGAACACCAUUUGAUCGUUCUUGCCUAAUCUUAGCAUUUGGCUUUGUGAAGCCUGCUGAGUUGUGCUAGCUAAAUGCUUGCACUUACACGCACUUACAUGUUUCCUCAAUGUUUGGUCCGCCAGGGCCAAGAGUCAGCUUCUACCUCAUGCCUCAGGGAUAUCAGGUUUCAACUCAUAUCGUCUGCAUAUUGUAUACCUCCCCUCGUGCCUCAUUAAAAGGAACACUUUCCAUUUACUUUUCUUCUUGUGACUACUGGGUCCACGGUUGUUUUCUUUCUCUACUGUUGUUAAACAUCACCUGUAUCAUUAAGCCCAGAUGUACAAAGGUAUAGAGCAACACUUCUAGCUGAGAAAGGUAGUCAUCUUGACUAGAUACAAGUUUAUCCAUGCGAUGAAAGUACCAUUUCAUUUUUGAUGGCCUUCAUUUAGCAUUUAUCGCUGGGGCUGGGUUUUGUGUUGCCUUUAUAAACACACACACACACACACACACACACACACACACAGCCUAGUUCUUUUUAGGCGCUUCUCCAGCUGUGAGUUUAGCAAGGCUUCCUGCUAAUGGGGAGACAGAAUUACAGCUCCAAACAUUCCCCUGCCACUGAUCCAGAACAUGUGUUAUCAUAUCACACACUGUCAAUUGAUUCCAAAUCCCUGCCAACAGGGCACAGUCUGCAUUCCAAAUAUCUAAGGCCCUGGGACAGUGAAUUAUAAAACAGAAAUAUGCUAUGCUUUCUCCUUUAAUUUGGUGCACACAUGACUAAGUUUGCUGAACAUUUUUGAUUCUUAGAAUACGUUUGCUUUUUUUUCCCCCUGAAAACAUAGAACAGCCUACAAAAUCUCUGUACGUUAGUGGCAAUAGACUUAUUCUGAAGAUCCCCAGUCUCCUCCGUGUCACUUCCAAUCUCUUGGUAAAGGUUGGUUAACAGGAAAUAGGGCAAGAUGGAAGGGAGCUCACAUUUAGGAUAAUAAAGUGACUCUCAUUCAACUGAUGAGAGACAUAAACAGUCUGACUAUGAUGGUCCCACGGGAGUAGAAGGCUAAGAUUUCAAACGCUAUAUAAACAGUUGCAAAUCUCUGCAAUUACUCUACAAAUGGACUCCUAGCGCACA